This 649-nucleotide ribosomal RNA is filed under the name Hepatozoon sp. MRA-2009-3. RNAcentral describes it as "bacterial SSU rRNA". It matches the Rfam family "Eukaryotic small subunit ribosomal RNA", at positions 448 to 1084 of the family's 1831-position model. The record is from RNAcentral. Lineage: Eukaryota; Apicomplexa; Hepatozoidae.
CUCCCCUCGGGUCCCGGCCGUUCGUACGCGCCCUGGUCCCCUUCGCACUGCUUCUGUGAUCGGGACUGGUACGAGAUAUCAAACAACUUUCUUAAGGCUCUCGUUAUGCGAGGGCACAGUCUAGGUGCCAAGCAGCCGCGCGUAAUUCCAGCUCCAAUAGCGUAUAUUAAAAUUGUUGCAGUUAACAAGCUCGUAGUUGAAUUUCUGUUAAAAAUAACCGGUCUGCUUUUAUUAAAAGUGGUAUCUUGGUGUGUUUUUAGCAAUAAUGUCCUUUGAAAUGUUUUUUACUUUAUUGUAAGAAAUAAUAUUCAGGAUUUUUACUUUGAGAAAAUUAGAGUGUUUCUAGCAGGCUAACGCUUUGAAUACUGCAGCAUGGAAUAAUAAAAUAGGAUUUUAGUUCUACAUUAUUGGUUUUAAGAACUAAAUUAAUGAUUGAUAGGGACAGUUGGGGGCAUUUGUAUUUAACUGUCAGAGGUGAAAUUCUUAGAUUUGUUAAAGACAAACUACUGCGAAAGCAUUUGCCAAAGAUGUUUUCAUUAAUCAAGAACGAAAGUUAGGGGAUCGAAGACGAUCAGAUACCGUCGUAGUCUUAACUAUAAACUAUGCCGACUAGAGAUUGGAGGUCGNCUNUAUAAACGACUCCUUCAGC